This is a transfer RNA of Felis catus (domestic cat), 73 nucleotides long. It matches the Rfam family "tRNA". Rfam says of the family: Transfer RNA (tRNA) molecules are approximately 80 nucleotides in length. Their secondary structure includes four short double-helical elements and three loops (D, anti-codon, and T loops). Further hydrogen bonds mediate the characteristic L-shaped molecular structure. tRNAs have two regions of fundamental functional importance: the anti-codon, which is responsible for specific mRNA codon recognition, and the 3' end, to which the tRNAs corresponding amino acid is attached (by aminoacyl-tRNA synthetases). tRNAs cope with the degeneracy of the genetic code in two manners: having more than one tRNA (with a specific anti-codon) for a particular amino acid; and 'wobble' base-pairing, i.e. permitting non-standard base-pairing at the 3rd anti-codon position. The record is from Rfam. NCBI's taxonomy places the organism in Eukaryota, Metazoa, Chordata, Mammalia, Carnivora, Felidae.
ACCUGACUGGCUCAGUCAGUAGAGCAUGUGACUCUUAAUCUUGGGGUCAUGAGUUUGAGCCCCAUGUUAAGUG